This 305-nucleotide ribosomal RNA is filed under the name uncultured bacterium. Its description in RNAcentral is "bacterial SSU rRNA". It matches the Rfam family "Bacterial small subunit ribosomal RNA", at positions 332 to 655 of the family's 1533-position model. The record is from RNAcentral.
CGCCGCCUACGGGGCGCAGCAGUAGGGAAUAUUGCUCAAUGGGGGAAACCCUGAAGCAGCAACGCCGCGUGGAGGAUGAAGGUUUUCGGAUUGUAAACUCCUUUUGUUAGAGAAGAUAAUGACGGUAUCUAACGAAUAAGCACCGACUAACUCCGUGCCAGCAGCCGCGGUAAUGCGGAGGGUGCAAGCGUUACUCGGAAUCACUGGGCGUAAAGAGCGCGUAGGCGGGAUAGCAAGUCAGAUGUGAAAUCCUAUGGCUUAACCAUAGAACUGCAUUUGAAACUGUUAUUCUAGAGGAUGGGAGG